This 380-nucleotide ribosomal RNA is filed under the name Ligumia recta. RNAcentral describes it as "partial 16S ribosomal RNA". It matches the Rfam family "Bacterial large subunit ribosomal RNA", at positions 1925 to 2542 of the family's 2925-position model. The record is from RNAcentral. Lineage: Eukaryota; Metazoa; Mollusca; Bivalvia; Unionida; Unionidae.
AAACGGCNGCGUUAGCGUGAGCGUGCUAAGGUAGCGUAAUAAAUAGCCUCUUAAUUGGAGGCCAGUGAAUGGCAAGACUAGGGACACCUGUACCCUAUAUAGAAAAACAACUUUUCAUUUGGGUGAAAAGACCCAAAUAAUAAAGGAAGACGAAAAGACCCCGCGGAACUUUACCUUUUCUAGUCUCCACAUGCUCAUAAACACAAAAACAAAAAGGUUUGAUUGGGGCAAUCUCGGAACCACCCAAACUUCCACUUACAACACAAAAACAUAUAAAACUUAAUAAGGACCAAAAAGAAGUUACCCCGGGGAUAAUAGCGUAAUCCAACUUGAGAGUACACAUCGAAAGUUGGGUUUGCGACCUCGAUGUUGGCUUAAGG